GCGCCCGUAGCUCAGCUGGAUAGAGCACCGCCCUCCUAAGGCGGGGGUCACACGUUCAAAUCGUGUCGGGCGCACCA
RNAcentral lists this transfer RNA (77 nucleotides) under Acidobacteria bacterium SCN 69-37. RNAcentral describes it as "tRNA-Arg". It matches the Rfam family "tRNA". From Rfam's summary of the family: Transfer RNA (tRNA) molecules are approximately 80 nucleotides in length. Their secondary structure includes four short double-helical elements and three loops (D, anti-codon, and T loops). Further hydrogen bonds mediate the characteristic L-shaped molecular structure. tRNAs have two regions of fundamental functional importance: the anti-codon, which is responsible for specific mRNA codon recognition, and the 3' end, to which the tRNAs corresponding amino acid is attached (by aminoacyl-tRNA synthetases). tRNAs cope with the degeneracy of the genetic code in two manners: having more than one tRNA (with a specific anti-codon) for a particular amino acid; and 'wobble' base-pairing, i.e. permitting non-standard base-pairing at the 3rd anti-codon position. The record is from RNAcentral. Lineage: Bacteria; Pseudomonadati; Acidobacteriota. RNAcentral also lists the same sequence under 3 other names.